This is a long non-coding RNA of Hippocampus comes (tiger tail seahorse), 1202 nucleotides long. RefSeq lists it as uncharacterized. The transcript has 2 exons. The record is from RefSeq and is a predicted model, not a curated record. Lineage: Eukaryota; Metazoa; Chordata; Actinopteri; Syngnathiformes; Syngnathidae.
GCGCGGGGCGGGGCGGGCCGGGGGCACGACAUACCUCCGCUUCUUUUCCAGGUGAGCCUUCGCUUCCAUGACCUCCUUCGCCUCUUCCGCGCGGCCGCCACAUCCGGAUCCUCCUCCUCGCUCGUCACCCGGGAACCGGAAGCGGACCCGGGCUUCGCGGCCCAAAAGCACGCCGACGUGUCGAAAAGUUGAAGGGAGAACUGACGAGGUCAUCAAAUCCUCUCAAUUCACAUUGAAUGAAAUCAAGUCUUGCGUUGCACAAAAGGUGUUUUGAUCUUGAUGUGCUGGAAUGUUCGUCCUCGCCAAUAAAGUUUGAAACGCCCAAUCAUAUCUAAGGACAACUGCCUGCCUUUGGGACGCGGGAGGAAACGGGAGUACCCGGAGAAAAGCCACGCAGGCACGGGGGGAGGACGAGCAAACUCCUUUCCAUCUUUGUGUGUUCACUGGCAGAACUUCCUGUUUAGAUUUUGAGUAAAAUGUCCCUUCUUUUUACGUUUUAUUCAUGCCAAUGUAAUUUUUAAAUAUUUGUUUACGAUAUGACCCAAUAUUUAUUCACAACACGUCUUUGCAAACAAAUGUAAAAGUUUGUAUUUGUUUUAUUUUAUUUCUCGAAUCCAAUCAGCGCGGUGGUGGGAGGGACUAAGUUGCCAUGACAAUGACGUCAGUGUUGGUGUCGAGUAACUAUAAGGUCAAAAUAAAGGCAAGUGAAUGGAAGAUGGUAGAGAGAGAGAGAGUGUGUGUGUUUGGUGGAGGGGGGGGGGGGGAAAACAACAGGUUGCCCUGAAGUGUACGUGACGUAUCCCGAAUGACUUUCAAAAAUAACACCAGUCUCGGAUAGACGUCGAGUCGGCGGAGUGAGGCUUCUUCCUCAGGCCGGUGCACCAGGUAGUGGAGGGGCUGUAAACAUCCCCGACUGGAAGCUGUCUUUCCAACUGAGCUUUCAGUCCGAUGUUUGCCGUCUCCAGCUACUUCCAGCCUCCUCCUCCACGAACGAAGACGACUAUGCCCGUCAAAUCCGGGCUCAAUUCAUGUAAACAUCCUACACUCAGCUCGAGUCCACUGCAAAAGCGGCUGAGAGAAGGUUGUUUACGUGCGCUGGCUUGGAACCCAGACCGCAAGAAGCACCGAGAGCAAGUAACACACCGCUGUGAAUGUCAUCGUCGUCUCGACGGGGGAUUAAAUAAAUGGUCUUUUCCAUCAUA